This 348-nucleotide ribosomal RNA is filed under the name Oniscidea sp. JXAUM-L14100. RNAcentral's name for it is "partial 12S ribosomal RNA". Lineage: Eukaryota; Metazoa; Arthropoda; Malacostraca; Isopoda. RNAcentral also lists the same sequence under 1 other name. The record is from RNAcentral.
CGGCGAUAUGUACACAUCUGAGAGCCAGUUCACCUCUCUAUAUUUAGAGAAAUUACUAUCAAAUCCUAUUUUAUCUGAAGAUUAUCCUUAGCCGCCACUUAUUCGUUAAUUGUAACCAACCUGCGCCCUAAAAUACCACACCAAAUCUGACAUAAUCGUUACCUCAAAAUACUUAUGCCAAAGAUAUUUAGAUGACGGUAUAUGAGUCCAAUAGGGGGGGAUACAACGCGUAAAUACGAUUCCGAAGCAGGUUCCUCUGAGGCGAUUAGAUGCCGCCAAGUCCUCUGGGUUUUAAGAAAAAUACUACUACUACCCCACCUCAGGGUACUCCCAAAUAAUAGGGUAUCU